UACGGAGGGGGCUAGCGUUGUUCGGAAUUACUGGGCGUAAAGCGCGCGCAGGCGGUUCUCCAAGUCAGUGGUGAAAGCCCGGAGCUCAACUCCGGAAUUGCCAUUGAAACUGUUGAACUUGAGGACGAGAGAGGUGAGUGGAAUUCCCAGUGUAGAGGUGAAAUUCGUAGAUAUUGGGAAGAACACCGGUGGCGAAGGCGGCUCACUGGCUCGUUUCUGACGCUCAGGCGCGACAGCGUGGGGAUCAAACAGG
RNAcentral lists this ribosomal RNA (253 nucleotides) under uncultured bacterium. RNAcentral describes it as "partial 16S ribosomal RNA". It matches the Rfam family "Bacterial small subunit ribosomal RNA", at positions 524 to 776 of the family's 1533-position model. The record is from RNAcentral.